UGGGCUCAAUGUGAAUCAAAUCUUGAGGUGUAUUUCUUAACACUCUAUACCUAUCAAUAUUAUUUAGACUACCAAUAAUCAUACAUUCUCAGAUCAUUUUGCAGGUACGACAUAUUAAUCUCAAGAUUCUUCUAGGGCAAUAACAUUCAAUUCAAUGACUAUAUGACAUGACAAUACAAGUAUCCCAAUUGAACCUAUCCCAUCAUUUCAAUAUAAAAUUAUUUCUCAUCUUUCUUCCCUUGAAUCUCCUUUACCACCACUGCCACCACCCAUCAUCAAACUCUCCUCCC
This 290-nucleotide long non-coding RNA is filed under the name Elaeis guineensis (African oil palm). RNAcentral's name for it is "long non-coding RNA (EGUI_LNC073045)". The record is from RNAcentral. Lineage: Eukaryota; Viridiplantae; Streptophyta; Magnoliopsida; Arecales; Arecaceae.